UUCAGCUCUCUGCCAUUCGGCUAAGAUCAAAUGUAGUAUCUGUUCUGCCCAGCUUGAUCCCUGGUGCUGUCCCUACAUGGUGACUGUCCUUUUCGGAUUUACUAUUUUUUGUUCAGCGGUGGGAAUGCAGCGCUCUUGACGUGCGGUUCUUGCUGAUUGUGUCCCUGGUUUUACACUGCUUCCAGGUGAUGCGAACUUUUC
This 201-nucleotide small nuclear RNA is filed under the name Phialocephala subalpina. RNAcentral describes it as "U2 spliceosomal RNA". It matches the Rfam family "U2 spliceosomal RNA". Rfam says of the family: U2 is a small nuclear RNA (snRNA) component of the spliceosome (involved in pre-mRNA splicing). Complementary binding between U2 snRNA (in an area lying towards the 5' end but 3' to hairpin I) and the branchpoint sequence (BPS) of the intron results the bulging out of an unpaired adenosine, on the BPS, which initiates a nucleophilic attack at the intronic 5' splice site, thus starting the first of two transesterification reactions that mediate splicing. The record is from Rfam by way of RNAcentral. Lineage: Eukaryota; Fungi; Ascomycota; Leotiomycetes; Helotiales; Mollisiaceae.